This 308-nucleotide unclassified non-coding RNA is filed under the name Hevea brasiliensis (rubber tree). The record is from RNAcentral. Lineage: Eukaryota; Viridiplantae; Streptophyta; Magnoliopsida; Malpighiales; Euphorbiaceae.
ACAAUUUGAAGUUACACAAAUUCCUACAAGAAGCUGUAAUUGCUCAUAUGAUUUGACAAUUUCAAGUGCAUAAUUCUUGAAAAUUUUUAUGCAACUUCAUUAUCAUUUGAAAAUUUUAAUGUGCAUGAUCUACAUGAAUAAACUAUUAAAUCUAAUGUUUGGUGGUAAGGAAUCAAGUUGUACUGAAGUUAUGAAUCAUGUCUAAUUUGUAUAGAUUAGACAUGUAAGUGGAUUCCUUCCCUUAUUUUUAGCCCUUUUUUCAGCAUGAUUCUGGUGCAUGCUUACAUUAAAGAAAAAAUUCGUUGAAG